CCCUUAGAUGUUCUGGGCUGCACGCGCGCUACACUGACAUGUCCAGCGAGCUCCCAACCUGCUCGACAAAGAAUGGGUACCCUUUUUAACGCAUGUCGUGAUGGGGAUAGAUUAUUGCAAUUGUUGAUCUUGAACGAGGAAUUCCUAGUAAGUGCAAGUCAUUAGCUUGUGCUGAAUACGUCCCUGCCCUUUGUACACACCGCCCGUCGCUCCUACCGAUUGAGUGCUCAGGUGAAUAAUUCGGACUGCAGCAAUGUUUGGAUCCCGAACGUUGCAGCGGAAAGUUUAGUGAACCUUAUCACUUAGAGGAAGGAGAAGUCGUAACA
This 326-nucleotide ribosomal RNA is filed under the name uncultured eukaryote. RNAcentral's name for it is "partial 18S ribosomal RNA". It matches the Rfam family "Eukaryotic small subunit ribosomal RNA", at positions 1470 to 1796 of the family's 1831-position model. The record is from RNAcentral.